AUAGCGUAUAUUAAAAUUGUUGCAGUUAAAAAGCUCGUAGUUGGAUCUCAGGUGUGAGUCGUCGGUCCAGUCUUGUGCUGUGACUGUGCGUUCUCCGCCUUCAUCAGUCGUUAGACGCUCUGUGGUGCUCUUUACUGGGUGCUAUGGAGUGCACGGCACGUUUACUUUGAAAAAAUUAGAGUGCUCAAAGCAGGCCAUUGCGCUUGAAUAGUCUUGCAUGGAAUAAUGGAAUAGGACUUCGGUUCUAUUUUGUUGGUUUUCGGACCCGGAGUAAUGAUUAAAAGGGACUGCCGGGGGCAUUUGUAUGGUGGUGUUAGAGGUGAAAUUCUUGGAUCGCCGCCAGACAAUCUACUG
Molecule: ribosomal RNA, 354 nt
Filed under: uncultured eukaryote
Lineage: Eukaryota
Description: SSU rRNA
Rfam family: Eukaryotic small subunit ribosomal RNA
Source: RNAcentral